CAUUCACUAAUCGAGUUAUCUAGUGCCUCUCAUCGAAAGAUCAGGCGAAAACCCUAGUGGGUUCACAUCAGUUGGUAAUCAGAGCAAGGUUUAUCGGUGAGAGAUUUCCAAUUCUUCGUGUUUGUUUUUCCUGUAGUCCAAAAAAAGCCAAAAAAUAUAGCAGAUUUGUUUUCCAUAAUCCUAUAAAUCCUUUGUGCCAUGGCUAGUACUACAUAGUUAGGGCUGGUUGAAUGAGUGUUUGCUUCGGUCGUGUCCAGUGCUGGUUUUAGUUUAGUCCUUUAGAGUUUUGAGUUCUUGUCACCAUCUAGUCACAACUGCGUCCAAUCUAUUGUGGGUUGGAAUUUGAGUAGAUCUUGAUAAUAGGUGCAGCCACUUGUUGGUCUAUUCUGCGUUUCCAUCAACGUGAUCCAAAAGGAAAGAUAGCACUUCAUACUUGUGCUAGAUAUAUUGAAUUUUGAGGUGCUCUAGUGAGAGGGUGAGAGUGGUGAAGUGAUAUUUUGUACUAUUUUGUUUAUAUAAUCAGGUUUUGAGGUUCCCCAAAAAAAGAAAAGAGAAAGAAAAAAAAAUAAAGAAAAAAAAAGAAAGAAAGAAAGAAAAAAGAAAAAAAAUCAAAAAAGGGGAUUGUUGUUCCUUUUGUUUCCAGUAGGGCUGCUCAUUUUGUUUCUAGUGGUGUGCUGUGUUUUUCCUUUGUGUCCAGGCUCGCGUCUCUAGCACGGUCUAGGCUAGGACCAGCACAGUACCACCGUUGAGCGUUUAUUCAGCUCGCUUUUAUAACUAACGUGGUGCUAGUUCGUUCCUUGUUUUAGCCCACCUAUAUCUCCACAUACUCUACAGCUUGACAGGUCUUGUGCUGCAACACCGAUACACUUCGUCCAUUGCUGUCCACUUGUUGGCAGACGACCCCUCCUAUCAAGCAAGGUAAGAAUUGGUAAGAACUUGUGUUACAGGUUGAGUGUGAGCGACUUGCUGUAGCUACAUCCUAGUAGUUGUAGGGGUUUUAUUUCUUCACUUGCCUUUUUGUUGUCUUUGUCUUUGAACCAUGACAGGGGCAGAUGAUGGUAACGAAACACCACAUACACCUCGCACUAAGGGCAUCAUACAACAUUUUGAAAGGAAAGUGAAGCUGCACACAGAGGGACUUGAUAACGACUUGCAGGUGACAAAUGAAAAGCUGGGGCAGUUGGAGGCUACGCAGAUUGCCACAAACAACAAGCUCACAAGUUUGGAGGAAUCCGUUGCUAGUGUGGACAAAAGCCUUGCUGCUCUCCUAAGGCGAUUUGAUGAUUUCCACACCAAAGAUAAAGAGAAGCAUAAAGAAGAAAAGGAGGGAGAUCGAGAGCACGGUAGUCAUGAAGAUGACUACACUGGUGAUACUGAACAUGAUGAUCAAGACACUCGUGAUCGACGUCGCCUUCGUCACAACCGUAGAGGUAUGGUUAGCCACCACUGACGCGAGGUACACAAUAAUAAUGAUGCUUUCAGUAAGAUUAAAUUUAAAAUACCUCCUUUUGAUGGUAAAUAUGACCCUGAUGCAUACAUUACUUGGGAGAUUGCUGUUGACCAAAAGUUUACAUGUCAUGAAUUCCCUGAGGAUACACGUGUUUGGGCUGCUACUAGUGAGUUCACCUAUUUUGCUUCCGUUUGGUGGAUAGAACAUGGCAAGAAAAAUCCUAAUAACAUACCUAGAACUUGGAAUGCGUUGAAACAAGUCAUGAGGGCUAGAUUUGUUCCUUCUUACUAUGCACGUGACAUGAUUAAUAAGUUGCAGCAAUUGAGACAAGGUGCUAAAAGUGUAGAAGAAUAUUAUCAGGAAUUACAAAUGUGUAUGCUGCGAUGUAAUUUAGAGGAGGAAGAAGAACCUGCUAUGGCUAGAUUUUUGGGGGGUUAAAUCGUGAAAUCCAGGACAUUCUUGCUUAUAAAGAUUAUACUAACGUAACCCGUUUGUUUCAUCUUGCUUGUAAAGCUGAAAGGGAAGUGCAGGGACGACGUUCUAGUGCCAAAUCUAACAAUUCUGCAGGGAAAUCCUGGCAACAACGCACAUCUGCUACAUUGUCGGGUGGUGUACCUCUUCCAUCAAGCCGAUCAAUAGCUCCACCACCUUCCUACAGCGACAAACCACAUGAUUCUUCCACAAAUACAGCAACUAAAUCAGCCCAAAGACCAAUCGCUAGUGCCUCCUCAGUUAAUUCCACGGGAAGAACAAGAGAUGUUCAGUGUCAUCGAUGCAAGGGCUAUGGGCACGUACAACGAGAUUGUCCAAUCAAGCGUGUUUUGGUGGUUAACGCUGAUGGUGGGUAUUCCUUUGCUAGUGAUUUUGAUGACGAUACACGUGCUUUGCUUGCUGCUGAUGAUACAGGUAGGGAUGAAGCAAUAGAAGAGCAGAUAGAUGCAGAGAAUGUAGAGCAUUAUGAGAGUCUUAUUGUGCAGCGUGUGCUUAGUGCUCAAGCGGAGAAGGUAGAGCAGAAUCAGCGGCAUACAUUGUUCCAAACAAAGUAUGUUAUUAAAGAGCAUUCUUGUCGUUUGAUUAUUGAUGGAGGUAGCCACAACAACUUGGCUAGCAGCAACAUGGUGGAGAAGCUUGCACUUACCACCAAACCACAGCCACAUCCAUAUCACAUUCAGUGGCUGAACAACAGUGGUAAGGCCAAGGUAACAAAACUGGUGCGAAUUAGUUUUAAUAUUGGUUCAUACCAUGAUGUUGUUGAAUGUGAUGUUGUACCUAUGGAAGCUUGUAAUAUUCUGCUAGGUAGACCAUGGCAAUUUGAUAAGGAAUGUAUACAUCAUGGUAGAUCAAAUCAGUAUUCGUUUAUGCACCAUGAUAUGAAAAUUGUUUUGCUACCUAUGUCUCCCGAACCUAUCGUACGUGAUGAAGUUGCUAAAAUUACCAAGGCUCAAAUUAAGAACAAUGCAGAUACCAAUGGAAAUAACAAAGAUGAGAUAAGAUUAAAUGGACAUUGCAUGCUUGCUACUAAAUUUGAUGUUAAUGAACUAAUUGUUUCCACAUCUACUGCUUAUGCUUUGGUAUGUAAGGGUGUUUUGAUUUCAAUUGAAGAUAUGCUGCAUUCUUUGCCCCCUGCUGUUCAUAACAUUUUGCAGGAGUAUGCUGAUGUUUUUCCAAGUGAGAUACCGGCAGGGCUGCCACCUAUACGUGGGAUUGAGCACCAAAUUGAUCUUAUUCCUGGUGCAUCUUUGCCAAACCGCGCGCCAUACAGGACAAAUCCAGAGGAAACAAAAGAGAUCCAGCGGCAAGUGCAAGAACUCCUCGACAAAGGUUAUGGAAUUGAGGUUGAUCAAGCCAAGGUAGAAGCUAUACAGGGAUGGCCUGUACCAAAGACAAUCACCCAGGUGCGGAGUUUCUUAGGACUUGCUGGGUUUUAUCGCCGUUUUGUGAAGGAUUUCAGCACCAUUGCUGCACCAUUGAAUGAGCUUACAAAGAAGGGAGUGCCUUUUAUUUGGAGCAAAGUACAAGAGAAUUCCUUCAACAUGUUGAAAGAUAAGUUAACACAUGCACCUCUCCUACAGCUUCCUUAUUUUAAUAAGACUUUUGAGCUUGAGUGUGAUGCUAGUGGGAUUGGUUUGGGAGGUGUUUUGCUACAAGAGGGUAAACCUGUUGCAUAUUUUAGUGAGAAAUUGAGUAGGCCUGUUCUGAACUAUUCAACUUAUGAUAAAGAAUUGUAUGCUCUUGUCCGAACUUUAGAAACAUGGCCAUUAUUUGUGGCCCAAAGAGUUUGUUAUUCAUUCUGAUCAUGAAUCUUUAAAACAUAUUCGUAGUCAAGGAAAACUAAAUCGCAGACAUGCUAAGUGGGUAGAAUUUAUUGAAUUCUUUCCUUAUGUUAUUAAGCACAAGAAAGGGAAGGAGAAUAUCAUUGCUGAUGCUUUGUCAAGGAGAUAUACUUUGCUAAAUCAACUUGAUUACAAGAUUUUUGGAUUAGAAACGAUCAAAGACCAAUAUGUUCAUGAUGCUGAUUUUAAUGAAGUGUUGCUGCGUUGUAAAGAUGGAAAAGGAUGGAACAAAUUCAUCGUUAGUGAUGGGUUUGUGUUUAGAGAUAACAAGCUAUGCAUUCCAGCUAGCUCUGUUCGUUUGUUGUUGUUACAGGAAGCUCAUGGAGGAGGUUUGAUGGGACAUUUUGGAGCAAAGAAGACGGAGGACAUACUUGCUGGUCAUUUCUUUUGGCCAAGGAUGAGGAGAGAUGUGGAGAGAUUUGUUGCUCGCUGCACAACAUGUCAAAAGGCUAAGUCACGCUUAAAUCCACAUGGUUUGUAUAUGCCUCUACCUGUUCCUAGCAUUCCUUGGGAAGAUAUUUCUAUGGAUUUUGUGUUGGGAUUGCCUAAGACUAGGAAGGGCCGUGAUAGUGUUUUUGUUGUUGUGGAUAGAUUUUCUAAGAUGGCACACUUUAUACCGUGUCAUAAGACCGAUGAUGCUACACAUAUUGCUGAUUUAUUCUUUCGGGAAGUUGUUCGUUUGCAUGGUGUGCCAAAUACAAUUGUUUCUGAUCGAGAUGCUAAAUUUCUUAGCCAUUUUUGGAGAACUUUAUGGGGAAAAUUGGGGACAAAGCUUUUAUUUUCUACCACUUGUCAUCCCCAAACUGAUGGUCAAACUGAAGUUGUGAAUAGAACCUUGUCUACUAUGUUAAGUGCUAUUCUAAAGAAGAAUAUUAAAAUGUGCGAAGAUUGUUUGCCCCAUAUUGAGUUUGCUUAUAAUCGUUCUUUGCACUCUACUACAAAGAUGUGUCCAUUUGAGGUUGUUUAUGGCCUGCUACCACGUGCGCCUAUUGAUUUAAUGCCUUUGCCAACCUCUGAAAAAUUGAAUUUUGAUGCUGAACAACGUGCUAAGUUGAUGUUGAAAUUGCAUGAAACAACUAAAGAAAACAUAGAGCGCAUGAAUGCUAAGUAUAAGGUUGCUGGUGAUAAGGGUAGAACACAAUUGAAUUUUGAACAUGGAGAUUUGGUUUGGUUGCAUUUGAGAAAGGAUAGGUUUCCUACGUUGAGAAAAUCUAAAUUGAUGCCUAGAGCUGUUGGACCAUUUAAAGUGCUACAACGAAUUAAUGAGAAUGCAUAUAAGCUUGAUCUUCCUGCAGAUUUUGGGGUUAGUCCCACAUUUAACAUUGCAGAUUUGAAACCAUAUUUGGGUGAGGAACAUGAGCUUGAGUCGAGGACAACUCAAAUGCAAGAAAGGGAGGAUGAUGAGGACAUCAACACCAUCGAUAUAUCCGCACCUACACCAGUUGGUUCUCUUACUCGUGCUCGUGCCCGUCAACUCAACCUUCAAGUAAGUUCAGUUUUAAACUCUUGUCAAUCAUAUUUAGACAAUGGAGACACGUGCACUUUCGUGUUGCUCAGGAAUAAUGGACAAGAUCAGCAAGGGAAGGUUCAACUGCAUUCGGAAUUUGAGGCAACACCAACUUCAAGGGCUGAUUGCAUAUGGGAAGAGUGAUAACUUAACAAAGGUGAUUGGAGAUCAGGUCCAAGCCUCCACAACAUCCUCUAUCAAGUUACCACGUCGCUUCUAAAGCAAGGAAACAAAGAGUCCAAACCCAACACGUUUUGGGAGUUGGAUUCGGACUGGAAAAUAAGUCUAACUUGUAUGGAUCACCACGGCGUCAUAUGGACUCCAACUGGGACGUUCCUAUACUUGUUGGAAAGCUCAUGAAGUCUACUUUCCAAUGGGUCCAACCACAUAUCUAUGCAGCUUAUGAGUCGGGCGCAGUCCUUGUUUUCGUGCCGACACCUUUUUCUGUUUUGGUGCUGCGUCACCCUAUUUUGGACCAAUGGCCCAUGUAUCAAGUUGAGUCCAUUAGGGACGCGUCCUAGGGUUGGAGGACGACUCUAGCACCCCUUUGGUCGUCCUCCCCUCUAUUUAUUUACAUCUAGAGCCGCCAUGAACAACUGGGUUUUGAUUAGAUAAAGUUUAGCCUUCGCUACUUGCUUGUAAACGCGCGUGCUGAUCCAGCCGCCCGUCUUCUUGUUUUUGAAACCCCACUUCAUUAGAGAUUGAGUUUGAAACCUUCAUUUACAUCUAGUAUUUUAGUACUUGUUCUACUUGUUCUUGCUGGUUCUUCGAUUGCUUGCAGGACGAGUGCCCUAGUGGCCGGGUGUUGAAGCUCCACAAGAUCGUGACAGCCAUUGGAGGCGGUGUAUCGGUUGCUAAGGCGCGGCCUUAGAAGGCUGUAGUCGGGCCGUGAACAUCAUCUCCAUUCACUAAUCGAGUUAUCUAGUGCCUCUCAUCGAAAGAUCAGGCGAAAACCCUAGUGGGUUCACAUCAGUUGGUAAUCAGAGCAAGGUUUAUCGGUGAGAGAUUUCCAAUUCUUCGUGUUUGUUUUUCCUGUAGUCCAAAAAAAGCCAAAAAAUAUAGCAGAUUUGUUUUCCAUAAUCCUAUAAAUCCUUUGUGCCAUGGCUAGUACUACAUAGUUAGGGCUGGUUGAAUGAGUGUUUGCUUCGGUCGUGUCCAGUGCUGGUUUUAGUUUAGUCCUUUAGAGUUUUGAGUUCUUGUCACCAUCUAGUCACAACUGCGUCCAAUCUAUUGUGGGUUGGAAUUUGAGUAGAUCUUGAUAAUAGGUGCAGCCACUUGUUGGUCUAUUCUGCGUUUCCAUCAACGUGAUCCAAAAGGAAAGAUAGCACUUCAUACUUGUGCUAGAUAUAUUGAAUUUUGAGGUGCUCUAGUGAGAGGGUGAGAGUGGUGAAGUGAUAUUUUGUACUAUUUUGUUUAUAUAAUCAGGUUUUGAGGUUCCCCAAAAAAAGAAAAGAGAAAGAAAAAAAAAUAAAGAAAAAAAAAGAAAGAAAGAAAGAAAAAAGAAAAAAAAUCAAAAAAGGGGAUUGUUGUUCCUUUUGUUUCCAGUAGGGCUGCUCAUUUUGUUUCUAGUGGUGUGCUGUGUUUUUCCUUUGUGUCCAGGCUCGCGUCUCUAGCACGGUCUAGGCUAGGACCAGCACAGUACCACCGUUGAGCGUUUAUUCAGCUCGCUUUUAUAACUAACGUGGUGCUAGUUCGUUCCUUGUUUUAGCC
RNAcentral lists this long non-coding RNA (7000 nucleotides) under Sorghum bicolor (sorghum). RNAcentral describes it as "long non-coding RNA (SBIC_LNC012459)". Lineage: Eukaryota; Viridiplantae; Streptophyta; Magnoliopsida; Poales; Poaceae. The record is from RNAcentral.